Molecule: ribosomal RNA, 250 nt
Filed under: uncultured bacterium
Lineage: Bacteria
Description: partial 16S ribosomal RNA
Rfam family: Bacterial small subunit ribosomal RNA
Source: RNAcentral
UACGGAGGGUGCAAGCGUUAUCCGGAUUCACUGGGUUUAAAGGGUGCGUAGGUGGGCAGGUAAGUCAGUGGUGAAAUCUCCGGGCUUAACCCGGAAACUGCCAUUGAUACUAUCUGUCUUGAAUACCCUGGAGGUGAGCGGAAUAUGUCAUGUAGCGGUGAAAUGCUUAGAUAUGACAUAGAACACCCAUUGCGAAGGCAGCUCACUACGGGAAUAUUGACACUGAGGCACGAAAGCGUGGGGAUCAAAC